RNAcentral lists this ribosomal RNA (492 nucleotides) under uncultured bacterium. Its description in RNAcentral is "partial 16S ribosomal RNA". It matches the Rfam family "Bacterial small subunit ribosomal RNA", at positions 29 to 507 of the family's 1533-position model. The record is from RNAcentral.
AGUGAACGCUGGCGGUAGGCCUAACACAUGCAAGUCGAACGGCAGCACAGUAAGAGCUUGCUCUUACGGGUGGCGAGUGGCGGACGGGUGAGGAAUACAUCGGAAUCUACUUUUUCGUGGGGGAUAACGUAGGGAAACUGACGCUAAUACCGCAUACGACCUACGGGUGAAAGCAGGGGAUCUUCGGACCUUGCGCGAUUGAAUGAGCCGAUGUCGGAUUAGCUAGUUGGCGGGGUAAAGGCCCACCAAGGCGACGAUCCGUAGCUGGUCUGAGAGGAUGAUCGGCCACACUGGAACUGAGACACGGUCCAGACUCCUACGGGAGGCAGCAGUGGGGAAUCUUGCGCAAUGGGCGAAAGCCUGACCCAGCCACACCGCGUGGGUGAUGAAGGCCUUCGGGUCGUAAAGCCCUUUUAUUGGGAAAGAAAAGCUGCGGAUUUAUCCGCCGCUGUCCUGACGGUACCCAAACAAUAAGCCCCGGCUAACUUCGUG